Long non-coding RNA from Triticum aestivum (bread wheat), 1132 nucleotides. RefSeq lists it as uncharacterized. The record is from RefSeq and is a predicted model, not a curated record. Lineage: Eukaryota; Viridiplantae; Streptophyta; Magnoliopsida; Poales; Poaceae. The transcript has 3 exons.
GCAAAUCGAUUCCCCACCAAGGCUCCAGCAAAUCGAUUCCCCGCCAAGGCGCCAGCCUCGCUGACUUCACCACCACAUCCAUAUGCUCUGUAUAAAAUUUCUCUAGCGUGUACGUCACGCACCAUGAUCUCCGUCAGUUCAUAACCGCCGUCCAUGCCCCAGAUCCUUCGAAUCACCUCAACAUCCAGAUUGCAGCUCCACCAUCGUCUCCUUGCAAGCUCUGACUUGGUUCAAAUUUUCUUGCCGCCUGGUGAGUCCAGGUUCAUGAGAGCUGGACAUCCUACUACAACCAGCUCACCAUAGUGCCAUCGACGGACUGACCACAAGUUGUGGCCGAAAACACCUGACUUAUAACAAUCAAGAAUCAAAGUCAUAACCGCGAGCCGUCCAGUAAAACCCAAGAGAUGGAAGGCCGAGCUCCUUUCAGAGAUAUUACAAAUGUUCACUCCACGACUUCACCAAAAGGGAACCAACUAGCUGUGAUUGCAGAGCAGAAUGAUCCUUUUGCAGAAACCAAAAACACUAUGCAAAUGAAUUCUUCCCAGCAUCAGAGGAUGAUGUUCUCCCCUUCAAGUUUAAAAGAAACAAUUUCCAAUUCGGCUUAGUUUUGCCAUGACAAUCAACAAAGCCCAGGGUCAAACCAUCCCAAAUGUUGGCGUAUAUCUUCCUGAGCCGGUGUUUUCUCAUGGACAACUCUAUGUUGCUUUGUCUAGAGGGACAUCAAGACAAACAACUAGAAUACUUGCAAGGCCAAAUACGGAUAAUGACCCAUCAGGGAAAAGCACAAAAAAUAUUGUCUACAGGGAUGUUUUGGUAUAAUCCAUGUACAUGCUGUGUACUGUAGUGUGAUGUUUCUAAUAUGUUUCUAUUCAUGUAAAUAGUACCAGGAAAAAUAAUAUUAGAUAGGGUUUCAGUCAUUAGCUUGCCCUUAUGAAAAUUGUAGACCAAAAGAUAUGUUUACAGGGGUAAUAAUCUAGCAUGUACAGUACUUAAAUCUAUAGAUUUACUAUUCUUCUCUCAGUUAUAGCAUAUAAUAGAAAUCCAGCAACAUAAGUGAGAAGAUAUCAUUUUUUAUGAUAGCCAUUGGGCUUCACAAGUAUAAGAAACAUACAUUUUUCAGUUUUAACAUACA